RNAcentral lists this ribosomal RNA (431 nucleotides) under uncultured bacterium Geo-60. RNAcentral's name for it is "partial 16S ribosomal RNA". It matches the Rfam family "Bacterial small subunit ribosomal RNA", at positions 363 to 786 of the family's 1533-position model. The record is from RNAcentral.
UUUGCGCAUGGGGGAAANCCUGACGCAGCAACGCCGCGUGAGUGAUGAAGGCCUUCGGGUCGUAAAGCUCUGUCAGARGGAAAGAARUGUUCNNUGGYUAAUACGCANNGAACUUGACGGUACCCUCAAAGGAAGCACCGGCUAACUCCGUGCCAGCAGCCGCGGUAAUACGGAGGGUGCGAGCGUUGUUCGGAAUUAUUGGGCGUAAAGCGCGUGCAGGCGGUCUKUYAAGUCUGAUGUGAAAKCCCCGGGCUCAACCUGGGAAGUGCAUUGGAAACUGGGAGACUUGAAUACKGGAGRGGGMAGUGGAAUUCCUGGUGUAGGAGUGAAAUCCGUAGAUAUCAGGAGGAACACCGGUGGCGAAGGCGGCUUCCUGGACAGAUAYUGACGCUGAGACGCGAAAGCGUGGGGAGCAAACAGGAUUAGAUACC